Long non-coding RNA from Sparus aurata (gilthead seabream), 7154 nucleotides. The record is from Ensembl. Lineage: Eukaryota; Metazoa; Chordata; Actinopteri; Spariformes; Sparidae.
UGUGUAUAUAUGUAUAUGUAUAUAUGUCUAUGUAUGUAUGUAUGUAUGUGUAUAUAUAUAUAUGUAAAUAUCCAUAAGGAUAAUCAUAAAACUUAGCUCUUUAUUCAAACGUUUAACUAGACUUUACAGUGUUACAGUCUGGAAAUAAAGCAGGGAUCACAGCCUGAUCUGAAUCUGUUCAUCUUGGUCCAUUUAUGUAAAACGAGUCUGUAACAUCUCCACAGUAACAAUAAGAUAUAAGUCAACCUCUGAAAGUCUAACGUUUGAAAGUGAAGCUUUUAACGCUUUACUUCCAAAGGCAUCAAGCUGAGAAUUACCAACGUAUUUUACCUCGAAAUAUAUGACUAUGUUUUACUGUAUAUACUAUAUAUACCUUCCUUCCAAGCAGAGAGAUAUUUUGCAAAUAUUACUGCAAAAGUGGGUCCUCAGUUAUUAGUAUACAGAGAAAAUGGACUGAUUCACUCGUGAUAUUAACCCUCCACCUCCGCCAAUAGUAGCUCAGACAUUUCAAACUAAGAUAAAACUUUAUCUACAAAACAGAUCAAAGUGAGCCACAAGUCCACAUCUGAACAGCAUUUUAGAAAGAAAAAGAGUGGCGUGGUGUAAUUGUGCACUAUAACAGCAAUGUAACAGAUACAGGAAGUACAGUGGGUUACAAACCACAAAUUGACUAUUACCUGGAAAAAAGCUAAAAGCUUUCAAAACAUGUGCAGAUUUAACGGAACACAAAGCAGGAUGAUGUACAAACCUUGAGGCAAGUUCAGAAAAGUGAAGGAAUUCCACAACAUCGCUGACACAGUGGAGCAGCCAAUCAGUGCAGUCGUUAACGUUUCAGCCAAUCAGAGCAGACCCAUCUCCUCUGCACUUGAAGGGCGGAAGAGAGCUAGGAUUAGAAGGAAUCAUGGACGGAGGUGGAAUAACAAGCAGUCAGGAACCUGAAGAGGAGCCUCAGACAGCAGGACCACAGCAGCAGGUCUCGUCUGACUGCAGCCCUCCAAGCAAGCAGUGUAAGAGGACCAAGCACAAAUGUCCCAUUUGUGGGCAACUGUAUGCUGACAUUAUCCAGCACCUGAGAAGCACGGAAAAGGUGGUCAAUAAAACAGAGCUCCUUCUUCUGAGCAAGACUUCUCAUCGACAUUUAAGGACAAAUCUGGACUGCCCAGUGCAUCUCUGCAAGUCCAAACAUAUAAACCGACUAGACAAGCAUCUGCAAAAGAUCCACCACCUGAAGAACCCAAUGGUAAGCCUUUAUAUAGAAAAAGCGGAGGAUUCUGAAGAAGAGGAGGAACAGGUCAUACGAAGGGUUCACAAGAUGGCCAAAAGAAAGAGAUCUGAGAGCCCUGUCUGGCAAAGAGAGAUGCAGCCGGCUUUUGUAAGCCCAGGAACAGCAAAGAUGUUGACAACGCACUCAAAAAAAGUCAAUAUUGGGAAGAUUAUUUCCCACAAGUCAUCCCUCUAUGAUGUCACCAUGCCAAUAUCUGGUGACAUCAUCAAACACCAGGCGGGAUCCACAGUCGGACAGAUGAUUCCCUUAGGAUCCGUGGGAGAAACAGUCUCCAAAGAGUUGCUGUUGGAGAAUGAAAUUUCAGUGGCAGACACAACAUUCGACAAGAACCUGUCUGAAGAAAGGGCGGGAGAAUAUAAAGGACAAGAAAAAGAAGGUGAAGUGGAUGAGGGCUCUUUAGAGAAGUCAAAGACUGAAGGUGAAGACAAAAAUAAGACAGAAAAUAAGAUAAAAGAAGGACGAAAUACAGAGAAAGAGACACAGGAAGACUCUUUUGAGAAAAUAGAGAGUAAGAGUGAAAAAAUAAAGAAGAGCGAAACAAAGAUUCAAGAGGAGUCCUUGGAGAAGAUGGAGAGUAAGAAUGAAAAUGGAGAGAAGAGAGAAACAAAGAUUCAAGAGAAGUCUUUGGAGAAGAUGGAGAGUAAGAGUGAAAGGGGAAAGAAGAGAGAAACAAGGAUUCAAGAGAAGUCUUUGGAGAAGAUGGAGAGUAAGAGUGAAAAGGGAAAGAAGAGAGAACCAAAGAUUCGAGAAGCUCCUUUGGUGAUGACGAGUAGUAAAGUUAAAAGGAGAUUCAGGAGUAGAGCAAAGAAAGAUGAGAAGCAUGUGGUGAUGAUGAGGAGUAGGGCUAAAGAAUUGCAAAGGAGAAAGCUAAAAGAGGAGCAUUUGGAGACGAGUGAGAGGGAAAGUGAAGAAGGAUCAAGUGGAACAGCACAAACCUGGAAGUCUUUGGAGAAGAUAGAGGGUAAGAGUGAAAAGGGAAACAAAAUAGAAACAAAGAUUCAAGAGAAGUCUUCGGAGAAGAUGGAGUGUAAGAGUAAAAAAGGAAAGAAGAGAGAAACAAAGAUUAAAGCGGAGUCUCUGGAGAAGAUGGAGAGUAAGACUGAAAAAGGAAAGAAGAGAGAAACAAAGAUUAAAGCGGAGUCUCUGGAGAAGAUGGAGAGUAAGACUGAAAAAGGAAAGAAGAGAGAAACAAAGAUUCAAAAGGAGCCUUUGGAGAAGAUGGAGAGCAAGACUGAAAAAGGAAAGAAGAGAGAAACAAAGAUUCAAAAGGAGCCUUUGGAGAAGAUGGAGAGUAAGACUGAAAAAGGAAAGAAGAGAGAAACAAAGAUUCAAAAGGAGCCUUUGGAGAAGAUGGAGAGUAAGACUGAAAAAGGAAAGAAGAGAGAAACAAAGAUUCAAAAGGAGCCUUUGGAGAAGAUGGAGAGUAAGACUGAAAAAGGAAAGAAGAGCGAAACAAAGAUUCAAAAGGAGCCUUUGGAGAAGAUGGAGAGUAAGACUGAAAAAGGAAAGAAGAGAGAAACAAAGAUUCUAAAGGAGCCUUUGGAGAAGAUGGAGAGUAAGACUGAAAAAGGAAAGAAGAGAGAAACAAAGAUUCAAAAGGAGCCUUUGGAGAAGAUGGAGAGUAAGAGUAAAAAAGGAAAGAAGAGAGAAACAAAGAUUAAAGCGGAGUCUCUGGAGAAGAUGGAGAGUAAGACUGAAAAAGGAAAGAAGAGAGAAACAAAGAUUCAAAAGGAGCCUUUGGAGAAGAUGGAGAGUAAGACUGAAAAAGGAAAGAAGAGAGAAACAAAGAUUCAAAAGGAGCCUUUGGAGAAGAUGGAGAGUAAGAGUGAAAGGGGAAAGAAGAGAGAAACAAAGAUUCAAGAGAAGUCUUUGGAGAAGAUGAUGAGUAAGAGUGAAAAGGGAAAGAAGAGAGAACCAAAGAUUCAAGAAGCUCCUUUGGUGAUGACAAGUAGUAAAGUUGAAAGGAGAUUCAGGAGAAGAGCAAAGAAAGAUGAGGACCAUGUGGUGAUGAUGAGGAGUAGGGCUUAAAGAAUUGCAAAGGAGAAGGCUAAAAGAGGAGGAUUUGGAGACGAGUGAGAGGAAAAGUGAAGAAGGAUCAAGUGGAACAGCACAAACCUGGAAGAUGCACUUUAAGAAAAGGAAAUUUCAAGAAUGACUGGAAGAAAGGAGAAAGCUGGAGGAAAUGGAAACUGAUCGAAACCUUUAGAAAAGGGGAAAAUUAAGCAUGUGCAUUAAAAUGUUCAGUUCAGAGUUCCUUGAAUUUGAUGUGAUCUAUAGAACUGGUCAACUUGCAAAAUAGUGGAAUUUGUUUUUCCCAAAGUCAUGAGUCCAGUAAUCCUAGCAUUCAAAUGUGUACAGGGUUUAGCUAAAGAGUUUUUUUGUAUCUAUUUUUCUAUAUUUGUCUGCUUUCCUAAUCGUGAAAAGCUUCACAGUAAAGAUUGGUCCAAAAGCCGUAUACUGUGUGUUCUGUGUUCAACAGUUCAGAAGAGUAAGGUAGUUUUUAUAUACUCCCACCAGUGAUGCAGGGAAGUAAACAUGUUGUUUUAUUUUUCAAAAUUUGCUCCAAUCAUGACCAGUCUUGACCCCAGGAAAGGGGGUAAACAUUUGUUGUUGUUCUCUUGGAUUACAGACCACUUUCUCAGUAUAGUAACACUAAAACAACUCCAACUCCAACUCCUACACCAGAGAUGCUCCUAUCUGGAAUCCAGAGAAUCCGCCUUGUAUUUCGAUUGUUAGUUCUUUCCAGGUGCUUGGGGGGUUAUGAGGAUCCCCAGUGCAGGGCCCUUGUUUGUCCUGGCCAUUCACAAGGCCAUUAAAUGCAUCUUCAUCCAACCUUACUCUAGAGAUACUGAGGGCCACCUGUUGGGGGGAGGAGCAUGACAUUUUGGAGAGGUUAAGCAUGACUCAAAAGUUUCAAGGGUCGUGAGAAGAGUAGUUGGGUUUUACAUCUAUUUAAUUUGAGGCUUAUUGUCAAAGACUUGAUCUGUUGCUCCUGUGUCCUCAUUUGGAUCCUGAAGCAGUAGGAAAUUUACAUUUUAACCAUGGUGGCUCAAUGCUGUAAAGAUCAAUAUAUAAUAAAUGUGUUUAUAUAUUAUAUUCAGUUACAUGAUCUGUAUCACUGUGUGCUCCUCGUUUGCUCCUCCCCUGAGUGGGACAGAGAAGUUAUGUGGGGAGGAGCGCAGCCCAGCUGCACGGUGCUCAUUAGAUAUGCAAAUGUAGCAUGACUACAUGAGGUCCUAAGUUAGCAUGAGGUCCUAAGUUAUUUCUAAAGCUACUUCCAGUAUGUUAGUCGCAGUCAACAUGCUUCCUGGAUAACAUGGUUGUAGACAUCUCAGGGAUCUCCUGGUUCAAGUUUCAGGUCUCUGUCUGCUUAGACCAAAUUAGUUCAAAAGGGAAGGCCUCAGUCAAGGUCAAAGGUCAUUGGAGACCACCCUCUCAGUAUAUACAUUUAAAAAAAAAAAAACAUCCUCUGCAACUUUGUCCCUUUGACAUAAAAAUGCACCGGCUGAUUCAUGAGCCCUCCAGGUCCUGGUACAUAAAAAGCUGAAAUUCACAGGACAUGGUCCUUGGGGGGGCCUAGAUCAUUUGUACACAUUUUGGUGGAUGAAGCAGCAAGGCUUGAUCAAGUGGCAGACUUUGCAAGUGUAUGACUGAGGCCUGUUCAGCCAAAUGUGGCUGAAUCGACUCACUGUCACAUUUGCUGUAAAGCAGAGGUCUAACUAGCUAAACAUUAGGACCCCUAAAUUGUCUGUCUGUCCCAACAGGAAGUGACCUAAUUUUGACCCCAAACUUCAGGAGGUCAUUUAGACCACCUUCUCAGUAUAUAAAGGCUAUAGCACCCAACAUACACCCUUAAGAUUCUUUAAUAAAGGUUAGAACCUCUGAACCAAGGUUAUAUUAAACCUGCUGGUCUUCAAUGGAAUAACAUUCUGCAGAAGUGAGGGCUUUUACUGCUGAGUUUUUACAGUAUCUCUAAUGACCAUGGCUCGUGUGCGUUUCUGUCAGCCGAGUACACCAACAAGUACAUCUCCAUCACUCAGGGUGAGUGACCUGAUCCCACAGGAUGUUUACUUAUGUACUCACCAAAAUAGGAGACUUAACAGACUGCUGACAGAGUGACUGCAGUCUGAAUGUGUUUCAGUUGAGAGCCACCAGACCUGAGUUGUUUACACUACCUCUGAGCCCUUAUGAGUCAACCCAGGGUAAGUCAGCCAACCUCUGACCCUGCUGUCGUCAGUGAGAGGGGGAGUGAAUGGGGAGUGAUUUACUUGCAAGUUUUUUUCUAUCAUAUAAGAGAAUGGUCACAUGCCCUACGUGAGUGUUUCACUUUUGUGUUGCUGCAGAAGAAACAUUAAAGAUGGAGUCACAAAGGUUUUAGUUUACUGUUCUGUUCCAAAUAGUAAAAUAAAGUUAGGACAUUUCAGAAUCAUAGAUUAAUGUUUUGAAAUUGUAAAUCUUCUUCUUUCACAUCGCUGUGUGCCUGACUCUCUUCAAAUAUGAGAUCAGAAUCAGAAUUCCUUUAAUGUCCCGUAGACCGGGAAAUGUGUAUGUUGCAACAGCAGAAUAUUACAAGACAGAGAAAUAGAAAAAUAGACAAAAAAAUGAUAAUUUUAUAUACAGAUUUUAUGUAAAGGUAAUAAAUAUGGGUGAUGAAAUGAGUUUGUACAGACUUAUUGCACAGUGCAGAGCAUGGGGUGAGGUCGAUAUGGAGCAGUGCUGGUUGUUAAGUCUGACAGCAGCAGGAAGGAAGGACCUGCGAUACCUCUCCUUCACACACUUGGGGUGUAUCAGUCUGUUGCUGAAGGAGCUGCCCAGUGCUGAGAUAGAGACCUGCAGGGGAUGGGACUCCUGCAUCAGCAGCGAUGACAGCUUGUCCAUCAUCCUGCUCUCUCCCACCACCUGCACUGGGUCAAGAGGGUAUCCCAGGAUGAAGCUGGCCUUCUUGAUAAGUUUAUCAAGUCUCCUCCUGUCUGCUGCUGAGAUGCUGCUGCUCCAGCAGACUACUCCAUAGAAAAUGGCUGAUGCCACCACAGAGUCAUAGAAAGAGGUCAGGAGUGCCCCCUGCACUCCAAAGGACCUGAGCUUCCUCAGCAGAUACAGUCUGCUCUGACCUUUCUUGUAUGUAGCUGCAGUGUGAUCAGUCCAGUCCAGUUUAUUGUUCAGGUGAACUCCCAGGUACUUGUAAGAUGUCACCAUCUCAAUGUCUGUUCCCAGGAUGUUCACCUUUGUGCAGGGUUGUCUGUGCCUGCGCAAAUCCACCACCAGCUCUUUGGUCUUCCCGGCGUUGAGCUGGAGAUGGUUCUGCUGGCACCAGUCCACAAAGUCCUUGAUGAGUUCUCUGUAGGCUCUGUCGUCCCCGUCCCUGAUGAUGCUGUAAGAAUACAUCAUUCUUAGAAUAUUAUAGCAUAUGCUUGUGCAUGUCUCUGUGUGUUUGAGGUUGUGUGUCUCUACGGAUGCAGGUCAAUUUGAUCCAGAGACCUGAAGGAUGUAAAUGUGCAGGGUAUGUGUGCUCAGACUUUUAUUUUAUUUGUUUCUUAUUCAUUUAUUUAUUUAUUUUGCAAUGUUUAUCACAGAAUAUAAUCUAAGGCCAUUGAGUUUCAGGUUGAAAGAAAUUAUACUAGUACCAUUUUUCUUGUGAAACACCAUACAAUAGUUAGCUAUCUUUGCCUCAGCCUCUGGCCAUCCAAACAGUAUAAGCGAUGGUAAAAACUCCUCUCCUGUGGAACCCACACUGUCCCAAGGCACCCACAAGGAGUGAGAAGAGACAGAAAGAUCGAAAGGGGGGACAGAGAGGUGGACGGGCAGACCAGGAGCAGCAAAAUGAAAUAAAAACCUCACUUUUCUGAUAGUCCGGUAACAGGUCUGAACA